Molecule: non-coding RNA, 46 nt
Organism: Cricetulus griseus (Chinese hamster)
Lineage: Eukaryota; Metazoa; Chordata; Mammalia; Rodentia; Cricetidae
Source: Rfam
AUAAAGGCCCUUUUCAGGGCCACCCACCAUAUCAAAAAGAGAGUUU